RNAcentral lists this ribosomal RNA (245 nucleotides) under uncultured bacterium. RNAcentral's name for it is "partial 16S ribosomal RNA". It matches the Rfam family "Bacterial small subunit ribosomal RNA", at positions 524 to 768 of the family's 1533-position model. The record is from RNAcentral.
GACAGAGGGUGCAAACGUUGUUCGGAAUUACUGGGCGUAAAGCGAGUGUAGGCGGUGUGGUAAGUCGGAUGUGAAAGCCCCGGGCUCAACCCGGGAAGUGCACUCGAUACUGCCACGCUAGAGUAUCGGAGAGGUUGGUGGAAUUCCCAGUGUAGAGGUGAAAUUCGUAGAUAUUGGGAAGAACACCGAGGCGAAGGCAGCCAUCUGGACCGGACACUGACGCUGAGGCGCGAAAGCGUGGGGAG